Oreochromis niloticus (Nile tilapia) is the source of this 339-nucleotide long non-coding RNA. RefSeq lists it as uncharacterized. The transcript has 3 exons. NCBI's taxonomy places the organism in Eukaryota, Metazoa, Chordata, Actinopteri, Cichliformes, Cichlidae. The record is from RefSeq and is a predicted model, not a curated record.
GCACGCGCUUCAGAGAGGCGCGCGCGGCGUCAUGGUGCGCUGCUGUCCACGAGGCGGAGUGCUGAAACGACUGUGAGCCUCUCAGUAUGCUUUUACUGCAUAGACUGGCAGUGUUUUUGGGAUCUUUGCCAUGCUGAAAAAUGACCCGCUGCCAAUGAAUUGCUUUCCCGAUGGUAUUGGACGAGUUCAUCAUCUGUGUGAAUCAUCUGUGCGUUAAGCUUCAUCUGAUGAAGCUUAACAGAUAAACAAAGCCCCACAGAAAAAGGAAGAUCUGCAAUUUUCUCUGUUUAACCACAUCCACAGUUCACUGAAGGAAUUCCUCAGAGGCAAAACAAAGAA